UAUACGGCGAAACUGCGAAUGGCUCAUUAUAUAAGUUAUCGUUUAUUUGAUAGUAUCUUGCUACUUGGAUAACCGUGGUAAUUCUAGAGCUAAUACAUGCUAAAAAUCCCGACUUCGGAAGGGAUGUAUUUAUUAGAUUAAAAACCAAUGCCCUCUGGGCUCUCUUGGUGAAUCAUGAUAACUUCUCGAAUCGCAGGGCCUUGCGCCGGCGAUGGUUCAUUCAAAUUUCUUCCCUAUCAACUUUCGAUGUUUGGGUAGUGGCCAAACAUGGUUGCAACGGGUAACGGAGGGUUAGGGCUCGACCCCGGAGAAGGAGCCUGAGAAACGGCUACUACAUCCAAGGAAGGCAGCAGGCGCGCAAAUUACCCAAUCCCGAUCCGGGGAGGUAGUGACAAUAAAUACUGAUACAGGGCUCUUUUGGGUCUUGUAAUUGGAAUGAGUACAAUUUAAAUCCCUUAACGAGGAACAAUUGGAGGGCAAGUCUGGUGCCAGCAGCCGCGGUAAUUCCAGCUCCAAUAGCGUAUAUUAAAGUUGUUGUGGUUAAAAAGCUCGUAGUUGAACCUUGGGCCUGGCUGGCCGGUCCGCCUCACCGCGUGCACUGGUCCGGCCGGGCCUUUCCCUCUGUGGAACCCCAUGCCCUUCACUGGGUGUGGCGGGGAAACAGGACUUUUACUUUGAAAAAAUUAGAGUGCUCCAGGCAGGCCUAUGCUCGAAUACAUUAGCAUGGAAUAAUGAAAUAGGACGUGCGGUUCUAUUUUGUUGGUUUCUAGGACCGCCGUAAUGAUUAAUAGGGACAGUCGGGGGCAUCAGUAUUCAAUUGUCAGAGGUGAAAUUCUUGGAUUUAUUGAAGACUAACUACUGCGAAAGCAUUUGCCAAGGAUGUUUUCAUUAAUCAGGAACGAAAGUUAGGGGAUCGAAGACGAUCAGAUACCGUCGUAGUCUUAACCAUAAACUAUGCCGACUAGGGAUCGGACGAUGUUAUUUUUUGACUCGUUCGGCACCUUACGAGAAAUCAAAGUGCUUGGGCUCCAGGGGGAGUAUGGUCGCAAGGCUGAAACUUAAAGAAAUUGACGGAAGGGCACCACCAGGGGUAAACCUGACCUGUGAAGCCGCAGUCAACUCUGCUCCAGAAAGCCGCCCGAAAGGGUCGGUGGUGUUCCUAGGGGAGAGCUCUCCCCUAAACUAAUGGCUAGUCCUGCCGCCCGCGGCAGGGCGACACCCUCAAACUGACGGGGAACUCCUAAAGCCCUCGCUCCGGACAGGCGUCGGGAAACCGACGGCCUGCUCACCAGGCUAACGACCUCGGGUAUCGGAAGCAACGCGAGAGGAUGCUACAAUGGACAAUCCGCAGCCAAGCCCCUACGGUGCGGCCUCUACGGGGGUCGCAUACGGGGAAGGUUCAGAGACUUGACGGGGGUGGGUGGCGCGGGCUCUUGGGGUGCAAGCCGCGUGCUUGCUUGCAGGCCCAGGCGCCCGCCGCUGCCUAAGAUAAAGUCCGGGCGUGCGCGAAAGCGUGCGCGGCAACCACGCAACCCGCCGUUUCCAGCGGGUGCGAGGCCCCAGAAGUAAAAACAACCGGGAGCCUGCGGCUUAAUUUGACUCAACACGGGGAAACUCACCAGGUCCAGACACAAUGAGGAUUGACAGAUUGAGAGCUCUUUCUUGAUUUUGUGGGUGGUGGUGCAUGGCCGUUCUUAGUUGGUGGAGUGAUUUGUCUGCUUAAUUGCGAUAACGAACGAGACCUUAACCUGCUAAAUAGCCCGUAUUGCUUUGGCAGUACGCCG
RNAcentral lists this ribosomal RNA (1784 nucleotides) under Ustilaginoidea virens. Its description in RNAcentral is "bacterial SSU rRNA". It matches the Rfam family "Eukaryotic small subunit ribosomal RNA", at positions 75 to 1383 of the family's 1831-position model. Lineage: Eukaryota; Fungi; Ascomycota; Sordariomycetes; Hypocreales; Clavicipitaceae. The record is from RNAcentral.